GAGAUCCAUUUUAUUUGAUGAUAAAUGAACUUGACCAUUCUCUUUCUUGAUCUUGCCAUUUUGCUGCUGAAUAUUUUCACCUUGGUUAUUGUAUAUCCAGAAAUAAGUGUCAUCAUUGUUAUUUGAUUAUGAAUGAACUUGUUCAUUCUCUUUAGGUGUUUUGUGAUAACCAUUUUCUCCUUGAUCAUAAAUCCAGAAAAACACAUUAGUCUUUUGGACAACUUCAUUGUUUACUUCAGCCAUUUUCCUAGCUUCAGGUCCAUAAGUAACCUUUAUAUAAUGAGGUGAGCAGCCAAAUUUGAAUCAGAGUUUACAUAAGAAGUGCAAUGAACAUACUUGAAAUAGCAUUUAAGAAUGAGAAGAAUAGAUUGAGAUUUACCAACAGAACCAAGAGAUUCAGGGAGAAAAUACAAGCACCAAGCUUAAGAUCCAUUGUUUUUACUUUUGUUUGAG
RNAcentral lists this long non-coding RNA (453 nucleotides) under Nicotiana benthamiana. RNAcentral's name for it is "long non-coding RNA (NBEN_LNC024175)". Lineage: Eukaryota; Viridiplantae; Streptophyta; Magnoliopsida; Solanales; Solanaceae. The record is from RNAcentral.